AUGGUGGAUAUACCUGAACCGUUGCAGAAGAUUAUUUGCAGAGGCUUUGGUUUAUUUCAUACAGGGCACACUCAGAGCUGUCAAGAGCUGAGAGGUUUCUGCCAAGUUCCGCUAAGUAAGCCAUGCCGUUAUGCAUCCCUCCCAGCCAACUGUGGCAUCAAUGGGAGAUGCUGUGCAAAAAAACCUCUGACCGUAGAGGACUGCGCAGCCCUGGGGGGUUACUGCCACGUUCCCUUGAGCGAGGAAUGUCCCUCUGGUGUCAGCUAUCCAGCCAACUGUGGUAUUAACGCAAGAUGCUGCAAACCGCUCUCCUGAAGGAAGACACGGGCCAUUCCUUGUGGAGCCCAAGCCACACGAUCAGGAGGUGAAAUACAUGGAAUAGUGAAAUCAUCCGCCAAUUAAACGCUGAUUAAACAUAAGAUUUCACAACGUGUGUCUUUCAUUCCGAAUGCCGAUUGCAAAUUGCAGUGUGGAGAUGAGAGUGGUGUUCACCUAAUCCUGUUCAGGAUUAGGAGAGUUCACAUAAUCCUGUGAACUCUGUUUGUUUACAUGAACAUAUCUGUGGUAGAAACACUCAUGACCAUGAUUUAAAGGAGUGACGUGCAGGAGGGGCGUCUUUUUCCCAACAGGUAGAAAUGAGGAAAGCAAUAGUCUAAAGGACAGGAUCCUCCACCGCCUUCUCACUCCACCUAUGGAGGUUGAUUGAACUGGCAGUUGAAUCUAAUCCCAUUGUUAGGAUAGGGAUAGGAUUCUCUUCAGUGGACAUCAUGCUACCAGGAAUUAGGAUUGCAUGAAGGUAAUGGGUUGACCAGCAUUGGUGGCUGGUGUUCCUUGCAGCUGGUGGGUCAUAAUGCAGAUGGGCAGAGCCAGGACUAAUCAAGUUGAGCUG
This 889-nucleotide long non-coding RNA is filed under the name Pogona vitticeps (central bearded dragon). RNAcentral's name for it is "lncRNA (ENSPVIG00000007538.1)". Lineage: Eukaryota; Metazoa; Chordata; Lepidosauria; Squamata; Agamidae. The record is from RNAcentral.